Molecule: long non-coding RNA, 1737 nt
Organism: Manis pentadactyla (Chinese pangolin)
Lineage: Eukaryota; Metazoa; Chordata; Mammalia; Pholidota; Manidae
Exons: 3
Source: RefSeq, a predicted model, not a curated record
GGUUCCGCCCCGGGGGCGCCGGGAGACCUGAGGUCCCGAAGUGGCGGGCUGUUGCCUGUGGAGGGAUAACAAGUUUCUCUUCGUUUAUAAGGAAUGUGAUUAGCGCUUCAUAAGUUAAUUAGCUGCUCUGCGCCUCAGUUUCCCCAUCUGAGGAAAGGUUCUUCCUCCAACGCUCCUACUGCCAGUGUGGCACCGAACACGGUUCUGAGGAGAAAUGAGAAUGCCCAAGGGAAAGCGGCACUUACUGAGUUCCAAGUGAGCCCCUUGCACGAGACUGCAGUAAAAAUGGACUGCAUAAUGGGAUUCACUCAAAAACAUAUGGACCAAAUUAAUAUAUGAUAAAGGAGCCAGGGAAACACAAUGGGGAAACAGCCUCUUCAACGGCUGGUGUUGGCAAAACUGGACAGCUACAUGUAAGAGAAUGAAACUGGAUUAUUGUUUAACCCCAUACACAAAAGUAAACUCAAAAUGGAUUAAAGACUUGAAUGUAAGUCAUGAAACCAUAAAACUCUUAGAAUACAACAUAGGCAAACAUCUCCUGAAUAUAAGCAUGAGCAACUUCUUCCUGAACACAUCUCCUCCAGAAAGGGGAACAAAAGCAAAAAUGCACUCGUGGGACUACAUCAAACUAAAAAGUUUCUGUACGGCAAAGGACACCAUCAGUAGAACAAAAAGGCAUCCUACAGUAUGGGAGAAUAUAUUUGUAAAUGACAUAUCCGACAAGGGGUUAACAUCCAAAAUAUAUAAAGAACUUAAUGUGCCUCAACACCCAAAAAGCAAUAACCUGAUUCACAAAUGGGCAGAGGAUAUGAAGAGACAGUUCUCCAAAGAAGAAAUUCAGAUGGCCAACAGACACAUGAAAAGAUGCUCCACAUCACUAAUCAUCAGGGAAAUGCAAAUUACAACCACAAUGAGAUAUCACCUCACACAAGUAAGGAUGGCCAGCAUCAAAAAGACUAAGAACAACAAAGCUGGUGAGGAUGCAGAGAAAGGGGAACCCUCCUACACUGCUGGUAGGAAUGUAAACUAGUUCAACCAUUGUGGAAAGCAAUAUGGAGAUUCCUCAAAAAACUAAAAAUAGAAAUACCCUUUGACCUGGAAAUCCCACUCCUUGGAAUUUACCCAAAGAAUACAACUUCUCAGAUUCAAAAAGACAUACGCACCUCUAUGUUUAUCGCAGCACUUUUUACAAUAGCCAAGACAUGGAAGCAAACUAAGUGUCCAUCGGUAGAUGAAUGGAUAAAGAAGAUGUGGUACAUGUACACAAUGGAAUACUAUUCAGCCAUAAGAAAGAAAUAAAUCCUACCAUUUGCAACAUGGAUGGAGCUGGAGGACAUUAUGCUCAGUGAAAUAAGCCAGGCGGAGAAAGACAAAUGCCAAAUGAUUUCCCUCAUUUGUGGAGUAUAACAAUGAAGCAAAACUGAAGGAACAAAAUAGCAGCAGACUCAGAGACUACAAGAAUGAACUAGUGGCUACCAAAGGGGAGGGGUGUGGGAGGGCGUGUGGGGAGGGAGGGAGAAGGGGAUUGAAGGGUAUUAUGUUUAGUACACAUGGUGUGGGGGAUCAUGGGGAGAACAGUGUAGCACAGAGAAGGCACAUAGUGCAUCUGUGGCAUCUUACUACACUGAUGGACAGUGACUGCAUUGGGGUAUGGUGGGGACUUGAUAAUAUGGGUAACUAGUAACUACAUUGUUUUUUCAUGGGAAACCUUCAUAAGAGUGUAUAUCAAUCAUACCU